UACGUAGGUGGCAAGCGAUACUCGGAAUCGCUAGGCGUAAAGCGCAGGUAGGAGGUUUGGAAAGUCUCUUGUGAAAGCUCCCGGCUUAACUGGGAGAGGUCAAGGGAAACUACUAGGCUAGAGUGCGGUAGAGGUAGCUGGAAUUCCCGGUGUAGCGGUGAAAUGCGUAGAUAUCGGGAGGAAUACCUAUGGCGAAAGCAGGCUACUGGACCGUCACUGACGCUCAGGCGCGAAAGCGUGGGGAGCAAACAGG
This 253-nucleotide ribosomal RNA is filed under the name uncultured bacterium. RNAcentral's name for it is "partial 16S ribosomal RNA". It matches the Rfam family "Bacterial small subunit ribosomal RNA", at positions 524 to 776 of the family's 1533-position model. The record is from RNAcentral.